This is a long non-coding RNA of Nerophis ophidion (straightnose pipefish), 550 nucleotides long. RefSeq lists it as uncharacterized. The record is from RefSeq and is a predicted model, not a curated record. NCBI's taxonomy places the organism in Eukaryota, Metazoa, Chordata, Actinopteri, Syngnathiformes, Syngnathidae. The transcript is spliced from 3 exons.
CGGUCACGUGACCUAUGGCGGGAAGCAUAAAAUCCAGGAAGAGCGAGAGGGACGUUGCCGCAGGAGCCAACUACUGAAGCCGUGCGAGAGUGUUUAAGUGGGAUUUAUCUGCGGAAUUGGACAUGUUGGAUGGCGAGUUAGAGCCUGAACUAGAGCCUGAAGCUUUAUGCCUGGAACCGAACCAACCGAACUGAAUCCACCCAACCGAGCCGGGCGGGUAGGAGGCUCCUCAGCAGCCGCUCUGUUUUUUCCCUUUGGUUUUUCAUAACACAACAAGUUCAUUUCUGUCCUCCCUGAACUUUCACAUUUAGCCGUUACCUUCACUAAAACCCCUCUGGACACGGCCACCACAACGUGGACUUUGCGAGGUCGUUUAAUGAACUGUCGUGUUGCGCCUAUACCAUUCUUGGUAAAAACAAGGACUGAAUCAAGUACUGUAUCACAUUGUAAAUAUUGAACGUUCUGUAAUUUAUGUUAAAAAUGUGAAUGGCCAUUCGAAUUUACAUGUCUUUUUGUUGUUUAUUUUUCCUAUAAUUCUUUAAUAUAAUUU